GGGACUGUAGCUCAGUGGUAGAACACCUGCUUUGAUUGCAGAAGGUUCGAGUUUCAAUCCUUGAUAUUUUUA
Molecule: non-coding RNA, 72 nt
Organism: Podarcis lilfordi (Lilford's wall lizard)
Lineage: Eukaryota; Metazoa; Chordata; Lepidosauria; Squamata; Lacertidae
Source: the annotation of a GenBank genome assembly